GGAAUUUUCCGCAAUGGGCGAAAGCCUGACGGAGCGACGCCGUGUGUGGGAUGAAGGCCUUCGGGUUGUAAACCGCUGUCAGAGGGGAGUAAGUGAAGGGGGUUAUCCUCAGAGGAAGGACGGGCUAAGUUCGUGCCAGCAGCCGCGGUAAGACGAACCGUCCAAACGUUAUUCGGAAUCACUGGGCUUAAAGGGUGCGUAGGCGGCUCUGCAAGUUGGGUGUGAAAGCCCUCGGCUCAACCGAGGAAUUGCGCUCAAAACUGCAGGGCUUGAGGGAGAUAGAGGUGAGCGGAACUUAUGGUGGAGCGGUGAAAUGCGUUGAUAUCAUAAGGAACACCGGUGGCGAAAGCGGCUCACUGGGUCUCUUCUGACGCUGAGGCACGAAAGCUAGGGUAGCGAACGGGAUUAGAUACCCCAGUAGUC
This 423-nucleotide ribosomal RNA is filed under the name uncultured bacterium. RNAcentral describes it as "bacterial SSU rRNA". It matches the Rfam family "Bacterial small subunit ribosomal RNA", at positions 358 to 795 of the family's 1533-position model. The record is from RNAcentral.